This 2752-nucleotide long non-coding RNA is filed under the name Amborella trichopoda. RNAcentral describes it as "long non-coding RNA (ATRI_LNC002488)". Lineage: Eukaryota; Viridiplantae; Streptophyta; Magnoliopsida; Amborellales; Amborellaceae. The record is from RNAcentral.
GAGAUUUUUUAGAAUUUGUUUGAAGCAUGAAAUGGGUUGUGUCAACCCAAACUUUUCUCGGUCAGUUAGAAUGCAUGGCGGGAUAAAGAGGAAGAAGUGCCAGUGUCGGCUGAGCUAUGAGCAGCGCCGGCUGUGAAGAGAAGAAGUGACAGCGUCGGCUAAGUUGUGAGCAGCACCAACUGUAAAGAGAAGAAGUGUCAGCGCCGGCUAUGUAGGAGAAGAAGUGUCAACACCGGCUGUGUUGUGUACAGAGAUCAGAGACCAACGCCAACUGUGUUGUGUGCAGGAGACCAGCACCGGUUGCGUUACUGAUAUGCAUGAAUUAUGAGUGCCACUUAUUAGAUGCACACUAAUGUGAGUGCCACUUGUCCAGAUUUUAAGUCUUUUGAUGAGACUUGGACCACCACCCAGAACAUAAGAGUACUUAAGCCUCUCCUCUUACCCACGCCACCCACUCUUCCCUCAUUUCUCCCCUCUCUAAGACCCAAGGUUUGAAGAAGUGAUUGUUGGAGGGCAGUCAUUGUUGAGCAGGUGAGAACGAAUAGAGGAUUGGAGAAGGCCCCAUUGUUAUUCAAGUAAGUAGAUCCAUCACCAUUACACUGUAGUCAUAAGGAUGCAUGAGAAUUUAUGCAUGUGAAAUGAGCAAUAGAAGUGUAUGUGUUGUAAAAAAUCCUUACAGCUUUUUCACUAGAAUUUGGGGCUUUGUUCUAUGAUAAUGAUGGAUGUUGAGAAUGAAUGUAUGAUUCUUACAUUGUGUAAAAAAUGCAUGUCAUGUGUAUUCAUAUUGUGAGGGAAUGGUUGUUAUCAUGUUUCUUACCAUGACAUAACGGUUAUGGAAUGUAUUCUUCAGACAUGUUAUAUACCACUGUGAAAUUCCAUAAUUUUGGAAAGAUAUAUGAGUCUACUAAAAUGUUCAUUUUUUCCCACUGUUGAAAUUCUUUAUGAAAAUGAAGUCACAUUUCAAAAUGAGAGAGUAUACCAUUUUUUACUAUUUUCCUAGAUUUUGCACUAAUCUUGCUAUGGUUACUAGUUUUCACUAACCAAAUGAAGUCCAUUUCUUGUCAAACCAUAUCUAUUUGAAAGAUAUUUGAAUGGGCUAAAAUUUGCAUGAGGAAAAUAUUUUGAAAUUCUUUUUAGAUUGAAAGUUAUUCUUCAACUUAAGGUAUGUCACUGUGGGCAGUAUUGAUAAAAUUCAGAAAGAUCACUCUGCUUGGCACGAACUUUUGAACUACCAAAUGGAAUCCAAACGCUUUCAAAUUUACCUUGUUAGAAAGAUAUACGACUUGGCUUCAACUUUGAUUUUGAAACCGUCACAAGUUACCUCACGGUUUGAAAAGUUAUAGUGAUAUGAAGCAGGGUACCUCGCUGUCCACUGUAUAUAUUAGGGUGCAGCUAGUUAGCCCUCACCUCUUGGAACCUUUAAGAGGUCAAACGAGGCCCAUUUGUCUUCAAACCACUCCCAUUUGAAAGGUAGGAGUGUCUAGUGGGAAAUUAGUUUUGGAACUAUCUUUAACUUCCAAAGGAAUUUGGAGUUAUGACCAUAUUUUGACCAAAUGUCUCUACCUGAAAUUGCAGGAAAUGUGACAACGACACUAAGAUUCUGUGACUCUGAUAAUGUGAUCAUUUAAUGUUGAUACUGAUAUAAUAUGAAUUUGAUACUAUUAAAAAUGCGAUUCUGAUAUUGUCUGAUUAUGCUAUAUGAAUAUGGAUUUCUAGCUACUAUACAAUGGGUCCUCUAUUGGUAGUGGAAACUGUGAUUCUGUCAUAUUGAUGUUCUUAUAUGUCUUGACCUCUACACAAUGGGUCCUCCAUUAGUAGUGAAUAUUUCCUUUUGAUCUUGUUAAAUGAGAACUGAUAUUCUGUGAUUUCUUGCCACUAUGCAAUGGGUCCUCCAUUGGUAGUGGAUAUUAUGAUUCUGUUAUAUGAAUUCUGUUAUAUGUGAUUUUCGGCCACUACGCAAUGGGUCAUCUAUUGGUAGCAGAUAUGCUGAUUCUGUCACCGUUACGCAAUGGGUCAUCCAUUGGUAGUCGGGUAUUUUAUACCUCGAUUCCUAUAAUAGGAGUGGAGUCGAGAUGUAACUGUAAAUAACUUGGAGGGUCACACCCCCCGAAUUGCUAUAAGCACUACGCAUUUGGUCCUCCAAUGGUAGUGUAGCGCCCUCUCGCCUAAGGCACAAGUGAGGGUCAUGUCUUACAAGAUUAGCUUAGCCUGAUCGAUGUGGCUUCUACUUCGGGAGUAAAUUAAUUGUUCUGCUUAUCUGAUUUAUGUAUUAUGUAAGACUAUCUGAUGGUAACUGGUAGAUACAUUUUGAGGACAAGUAAUGCUCCGUUAAUUGAUUCUUACCCUCGUUAUAUAGCUUUCAUGUGUACUCUGAUAUGUGACUAUACUCUGUAAGACAAAUGCGAUUUCUGAUGAACUAUGGGCAUGUUAUCUUGUAUUAUGUAUAUUGUUAGUCAGGAAUGCAAGCGUAGUGAUCUGCUUACUGGGUUUUUAACUUAUUCCAUCUUAAUCUCAUAAUUGUAGAGUGAAGGGUGGCGGCAGCUGCACCAAAGGUGGGUGGUAAUUUGAAGGCUUGAAGCCCGAAAUUAAGAAGUUUGAGAAGCCGUCUUCCAAAGACUUUCACAAUAUGUUUUAGUGAUUUCAGCAGCAUGAUGUAUACUUCAUUUUGUGUAUUUUGGGCCAGUACUGCCUCGAAGAAAUUGUAAAGACUUUUGAUAUCAAAUGAAUGAAAUGGUUAUACCUUUGGUUUGAU